GGGCAAUGAUGACAGAUUUACGUUUCUCGAUUCUGAUUUUCUUAAAUUGUUUUGAUUUAAGGACCAAACAGCUCUCUGAUGACAGCGUUUGUGCGUGUCUGAGCCUA
Corchorus capsularis is the source of this 107-nucleotide small nucleolar RNA. It matches the Rfam family "small nucleolar RNA snoR126". The record is from Rfam. Lineage: Eukaryota; Viridiplantae; Streptophyta; Magnoliopsida; Malvales; Malvaceae.